GCUCCUGGCUCAGGAUGAACGCUGGCGGCGUGCUUAACACAUGCAAGUCGAGCGAAGCACUUAAGUUUGAUUCUUCGGAUGAAGACUUUUGUGACUGAGCGGCGACGGGUGAGGUAACGCGUGGGUAACCUGCCUCAUACAGGGGGAUAACAGUUAGAAAUGACUGCUAAUACCGCAUAAGACCACGGUACCGCAUGGUACAGUGGUAAAAACUCCGGUGGUAUGAGAUGGACCCGCGU
This 239-nucleotide ribosomal RNA is filed under the name uncultured bacterium. Its description in RNAcentral is "partial 16S ribosomal RNA". It matches the Rfam family "Bacterial small subunit ribosomal RNA", at positions 15 to 236 of the family's 1533-position model. The record is from RNAcentral.